GACGAACGCUGGCGGCGUGCUUAACACAUGCAAGUCGAGCGGUAAGGCCCUUCGGGGUACACGAGCGGCGAACGGGUGAGUAACACGUGAGCAAUCUGCCCUUCUCUUUGGAAUAACCAUUGGAAACGAUGGCUAAUGCCGAAUAUGAACCCCUUUCGCAUGUUGGGGGUUGGAAAGCUCCGGCGGAGAAGGAUGAGCUCGCGGCCUAUCAGCUUGUUGGUGAGGUAAUGGCUCACCAAGGCAUUGACGGGUAGCCGGCCUGAGAGGGUGACCGGCCACACUGGGACUGAGACACGGCCCAGACUCCUACGGGAGGCAGCAGUGGGGAAUAUUGGACAAUGGGCGAAAGCCUGAUCCAGCAACGCCGCGUGAGGGAUGACGGCCUUCGGGUUGUAAACCUCUUUCAGCAGGGACGAAGCGAGAGUGACGGUACCUGCAGAAGAAGGACCGGCCAACUACGUGC
Molecule: ribosomal RNA, 463 nt
Filed under: uncultured bacterium
Lineage: Bacteria
Description: bacterial SSU rRNA
Rfam family: Bacterial small subunit ribosomal RNA
Source: RNAcentral